Molecule: long non-coding RNA, 489 nt
Organism: Pipra filicauda (Wire-tailed manakin)
Lineage: Eukaryota; Metazoa; Chordata; Aves; Passeriformes; Pipridae
Exons: 3
Source: RefSeq, a predicted model, not a curated record
CACCAAGUUCCUGUGUCAGCAGUUCUGAGUUCCGUUGGAAAGAGAUUGUCCAGGGAAGAGGAAUCUUGCUCAGUGCAAGAAGUUGCCCUUCCUAUCUGAGCUGAUGCCCUUGGCAGGAGAAGUGCUCAGCAAGGAGGCUCUUUGCUCCCAGGCAGGAAGAAAGAGGGAUAAUAACUCCUGUCAGCAGCAAGGUCCUGACUGAAGUGGCAGCUGCAGUUGUUCCUGUGGUGUGGGCCAGUGGAAUUCCAAGAAAAUGGACAAGGACAGAACCUGUAAGAAUUACCCCUAAGCCAGAGUCUCUCCUGGUAAGGCAAACCAAGUAUCCUUUAAAAUUAGGAAGCCAAGCUGGAUUGGUUCUAGUAAGAGCUGAAUUUGCUGCUGAUGGUUUGAUAGUAGAAUGUGAAUGCAAGGAGCUGUAAAGAAAGGAAAUGGGCAAGAUGAUUGAUUGCUGGGAGCAGGGGCUGGCAGACAGUGGCACUGGCUGUUUGG